GAUGAAGAACGUAGCGAAAUGCGAUAAGUAAUGUGAAUUGCAGAAUUCAGUGAAUCAUCGAAUCUUUGAACGCACAUUGCGCCCGCCAGUAUUCUGGCGGGCAUGCCUGUCCGAGCGUCAUUUCAACCAUCAAGCCCCGGGCUUGUGUUGGGGACCUGCGUCCGACGCAGGCCCUGAAAACCAGUGGCGGGCUCGCUGUCCACACCGAGCGUAGUAACUAACCUCGCUAUGGAGUGGCGCGGGCGCCUGCCGUAAAACCCCCAAUUUCACAAGGUUGACCUCGGAUCAGGUAGGAAUACCCGCUGAACUUAAGCAUAUCAAUAGCGGAGGA
RNAcentral lists this unclassified non-coding RNA (331 nucleotides) under soil metagenome. RNAcentral's name for it is "partial contains 5.8S ribosomal RNA, internal transcribed spacer 2, and large subunit ribosomal RNA". The stretch from base 1 to 120 matches the Rfam family "5.8S ribosomal RNA", at positions 35 to 154 of the family's 154-position model. The record is from RNAcentral.